CCGUGAACAAAUAGCAAGCUAGCUGGGAGACAGAAAUAGAAGGGGAAGAUAUAUUUCAUUGGUGCCCUCAACGGAAGUGUGUACGCCCGGUGUUUCAGUUGGUCUGAAUCAUCUCCAGAAAUUCGAACAACCAUAGAUUGGACCACCGCCUUUGAUUUCAAACAACCCGCAUUCAAUCUCAAUCGAGAAAGCAUAUCAAAGGGCGAUGGAUCGAGGUUGGAUGAGUCAACCAAGAGCUAGUGCUGCUUACAAAGAUGGUGUCGAGCAAUUUCUGACUUUUGCAUUCCGUGAUGUUCCGGCCGGUGAUAGAAUUCUUUGUCCUUGUGUAAAUUGCCGAAAUAAAGCUAUGCAGAGUUAUGAUGGAGUGAAGACUCACUUGAGAUGUGAUGGUAUUCUUCAAGGUUACACUAAGUGGGUUUGCCAUGGAGAGGAUUACAGUGAACCAUCAUUUGCAUUUGCUCAUGUAUCAGAUAACAGUGGCAAUCUUUCUAUUCCUGGCAUCCCAAGGAAUGUUGUUGGAGAAAGCAGCCAUGGAAGGUUGGAUGACAUGCCAGGACUCUUAAGUGCCGUCUUUGCUAUGGCUAACAGUUGUGAAUCUUUAUCAAGCACAUCUGAUGGUGAAUUAGAUGGCCUUGAAUUUGAGAAUAUGGAACCAAAUUCAGUUGAGGAUGAGAAUGCAGAUGCUCAAACAAGUAAGAAACCUGAUACAUAUGCAAGCUUCUUGGAGGAUGCAAACACAGAGUUAUACCCUGGAUGUAAUGCAUUUUCUAAGUUGUCAUUUCUCAUCACCUUGUAUCACAUGAAAUGCUUACAUGGAUGGACACAAGAAUCAUUUACAACGCUACUUGGUGUUUUGUCUGAUGCACUUCC
Triticum aestivum (bread wheat) is the source of this 870-nucleotide long non-coding RNA. RefSeq lists it as uncharacterized. Lineage: Eukaryota; Viridiplantae; Streptophyta; Magnoliopsida; Poales; Poaceae. The record is from RefSeq and is a predicted model, not a curated record. The transcript has 3 exons.